This 29-nucleotide non-coding RNA is filed under the name Rattus norvegicus (Norway rat). Lineage: Eukaryota; Metazoa; Chordata; Mammalia; Rodentia; Muridae. The record is from RNAcentral.
UGAGAAUGUAGGGACAGAGACAAAGCACU